This is a non-coding RNA of Paramuricea clavata, 104 nucleotides long. Lineage: Eukaryota; Metazoa; Cnidaria; Anthozoa; Malacalcyonacea; Plexauridae. The record is from the annotation of a GenBank genome assembly.
GGUAAAUUCUAAGUUUUGAAGGAUAUGUAAGAAAUGUAAUCACUGUUGAACACAGUCAUUUUCCUCAAACAUUUCUUACAAAUCCUUCAAACUUAGAAUUUACC